This 292-nucleotide ribosomal RNA is filed under the name uncultured bacterium. RNAcentral's name for it is "partial 16S ribosomal RNA". It matches the Rfam family "Bacterial small subunit ribosomal RNA", at positions 505 to 796 of the family's 1533-position model. The record is from RNAcentral.
GUGCCAGCAGCCGCGGUAAUACGUAGGGCGCAAGCGUUGUCCGGAUUUAUUGGGCGUAAAGAGCUCGUAGGCGGUUUGUCGCGUCUUCCGUGAAAACUGGGGGCUUAACUUCCAGCUUGCGGUGGAUACGGGCUGACUGGAGUGCGGCAGGGGAGACUGGAAUUCCUGGUGUAGCGGUGAAAUGCGCAGAUAUCAGGAGGAACACCGGUGGCGAAGGCGGGUCUCUGGGCCGUUACUGACGCUGAGGAGCGAAAGCGUGGGGAGCGAACAGGAUUAGAUACCCUGGUAGUCC